UACGUAGGUGGCGAGCGUUGUCCGGAAUUACUGGGCGUAAAGGGCGCGUAGGCGGUUGGAUAAGUCAGCUGUGAAAACCACGGGCUUAACUCGUGGCCUGCAGUUGAGACUGUCUGGCUUGAGUGUGGGAGAGGAGAGUGGAAUUCCUGGUGUAGCGGUGAAAUGCGUAGAUAUCAGGAGGAACACCGGUGGCGAAGGCGGCUCUCUGGACCACAACUGACGCUGAGGCGCGAAAGCUAGGGGAGCAAACAGG
This 253-nucleotide ribosomal RNA is filed under the name uncultured bacterium. RNAcentral describes it as "partial 16S ribosomal RNA". It matches the Rfam family "Bacterial small subunit ribosomal RNA", at positions 524 to 776 of the family's 1533-position model. The record is from RNAcentral.